UCUAAUAUGGCAGAAUAGUGCAAUGGUCUUAAGAUCCAUAAAUAAAGUUAAUCUUUUUUUAGA
Molecule: transfer RNA, 63 nt
Filed under: Photinus signaticollis
Lineage: Eukaryota; Metazoa; Arthropoda; Insecta; Coleoptera; Lampyridae
Description: tRNA-Leu
Rfam family: tRNA
About the family: Transfer RNA (tRNA) molecules are approximately 80 nucleotides in length.
Source: RNAcentral